AACGAACGUUAGCGGCGCGCUUAACACAUGCAAGUCGAGCGAGAAAGGGGCAACCCCGGUAAAGCGGCGCACGGGUGAGUAACACGUAGGUAAUCUACCCUCGGGUGGAGGAUAACUUUCCGAAAGGAAGGCUAAUACUGCAUGAGACCACGACCUCGAAAGGGGAUGGGGUCAAAGCCGGCCUCUGUACACAAGCUGGCGCCUGAGGAUGAGCCUGCGGCCCAUCAGCUAGUUGGUAGGGUAAUGGCCUACCAAGGCGAAGACGGGUAGCUGGUCUGAGAGGAUGAUCAGCCACACUGGAACUGAGACACGGUCCAGACUCCUACGGGAGGCAGCAGUGGGGAAUAUUGCGCAAUGGGGGGAAACCCUGACGCAGCAACGCCGCGUGUGUGAAGAAGGCC
RNAcentral lists this ribosomal RNA (401 nucleotides) under uncultured bacterium. Its description in RNAcentral is "bacterial SSU rRNA". It matches the Rfam family "Bacterial small subunit ribosomal RNA", at positions 29 to 416 of the family's 1533-position model. The record is from RNAcentral.